RNAcentral lists this long non-coding RNA (612 nucleotides) under Ananas comosus (pineapple). RNAcentral's name for it is "long non-coding RNA (ACOM_LNC006897)". The record is from RNAcentral. Lineage: Eukaryota; Viridiplantae; Streptophyta; Magnoliopsida; Poales; Bromeliaceae.
UUAAAAAAAAAGAAAAGAAAUAAAGAGGAAUUUGAAAAUUUACUAAAUAGAAUAUUUAUUAAAAAAAAUUAGGUUGUCGACUAUGAUUGGAGAAGGGAUUUGAAAAAAAACUUACUUGUGCCAUGCCUAUGGGGAGUAAAAUAGCUGAUGAUGAUAACGAUGGAAAUAUUAUUUCAUAAAAACUCUUAAGCGAAAAUUAGAAAAAAGAAAGGAGUAAAAAAGCAACUAAUGUUUUAUUGUUUCAUUGUUUCACUAGGAUGAAAAUUUUUAGAGACCCUUCAUAUGUAAAUUCUAUUAAAAUUGAUCCUUCAAUUUUAAAAGUUUAGAUCUUUUUUAUUUACUAUCAGAUAUUUCAUAGGGUCCGGAUCCGGGUCCGGAUUUGAAAACUAUUCCGGACCCUAUCUAUUUAAAAGUUGGAUUCCGGUCAGGUCCAAAUCGAGUAUGGGUAUAAAAUAUCCAAACUCAUACCCGAAACUUUAAUGGGUAAUUUUUUUUACCCGUAUACUAUCCAUUUUUUAUCGGAUCCGGUUCAGGUCCGGAUAGGGUUCGGGUCAGGUACGGUAUAUCGGAUAUUUUGGACAGCUUUAGAUAAAACAUUGGAUUAAUUAAUUG